RNAcentral lists this long non-coding RNA (359 nucleotides) under Elaeis guineensis (African oil palm). RNAcentral describes it as "long non-coding RNA (EGUI_LNC036300)". The record is from RNAcentral. Lineage: Eukaryota; Viridiplantae; Streptophyta; Magnoliopsida; Arecales; Arecaceae.
GAUGCGGCUACAUGUGCCCCCCCACCUCCAACACCCGUGCCCUCAUUGUGCUCACCCACCCACCCUCCUGCGGCUCCAUGCACCACCUGCCCUAACGCCCGCGCCACCCCUCCCUCCCGCCAUUGGCGAAUAUAAGUAAGAAAAUAUAGAAUCAAUGACGAAUACAAAUAGGAAAAUAUGAGAUCAAUUGACCCAAAAAAAAUUCAUAUACACAAAAUUUGCACACGCACGCACAUACACAUAAAAUUGACCCGCACACAAAAAAGUUUGACCCCACACUCAAAAACAAUUGAUCUUACAAAAAAAAAUUGCCCACCCGCCCACGUGCAAACGUGCGCACACACAUAUAUGCAAUAGUA